Molecule: ribosomal RNA, 333 nt
Filed under: Geitlerinema sp. KUAC 3229
Lineage: Bacteria; Bacillati; Cyanobacteriota; Cyanophyceae; Geitlerinematales; Geitlerinemataceae
Description: bacterial SSU rRNA
Rfam family: Bacterial small subunit ribosomal RNA
Source: RNAcentral
GUCGGCAGUGGAAACUGGAUAGCUAGAGGUCGGUAGGGGCAGAGGGAAUUCCCAGUGUAGCGGUGAAAUGCGUAGAUAUUGGGAAGAACACCGGUGGCGAAAGCGCUCUGCUGGGCCGAACCUGACGCUGAGGGACGAAAGCUAGGGGAGCGAAUGGGAUUAGAUACCCCAGUAGUCCUAGCCGUAAACGAUGGAAACUAGGUGUGGCCUGUAUCGACCCGGGCCGUGCCGAAGCUAACGCGUUAAGUUUCCCGCCUGGGGAGUACGCACGCAAGUGUGAAACUCAAAGGAAUUGACGGGGGCCCGCACAAGCGGUGGAGUAUGUGGUUUAAU